UGGGCUGUUUGGCAUUGAAGUGUAGAGCCUU
Molecule: non-coding RNA, 31 nt
Filed under: Mus musculus (house mouse)
Lineage: Eukaryota; Metazoa; Chordata; Mammalia; Rodentia; Muridae
Source: RNAcentral